Crassisporium funariophilum is the source of this 94-nucleotide non-coding RNA. NCBI's taxonomy places the organism in Eukaryota, Fungi, Basidiomycota, Agaricomycetes, Agaricales, Crassisporiaceae. The record is from the annotation of a GenBank genome assembly.
GGCUGCCUAGCGCAAUGGUAGCGCGUUUGACUUCGAUCGGUUACUCAGUAACGAUGGUAUCAAAAGGUUGCAUGUUCGAGUCCUGCGGUGGUCA